Molecule: ribosomal RNA, 24 nt
Filed under: Candidatus Rickettsia andeana
Lineage: Bacteria; Pseudomonadati; Pseudomonadota; Alphaproteobacteria; Rickettsiales; Rickettsiaceae
Source: RNAcentral
UAGCUUGGUGGUUAUAGCAUGAGU